AGCGAACGCUGGCGGCAUGCUUAACACAUGCCAGUCGCACGGGCAGCAAUGUCAGUGGCGGACGGGUGAGUAACGCGUAGGAACGUGUCCUGAGGUGGGGGACAACCCCGGGAAACUGGGGCUAAUACCGCAUAUGGGCUGAGGCCCAAAGCCGAGAGGCGCCUUUGGAGCGGCCUGCGUCCGAUUAGGUAGUUGGUGGGGUAAAGGCCUACCAAGCCUGCGAUCGGUAGCUGGUCUGAGAGGACGACCAGGCGCACUGGGACUGAGGCACGGCCCAGACUCCUACGGAGGGCAGCGGUGGGGAAUAUUAGACGAGGAGCGAAAGCCUGAUCCAGCAAUGCCGCGUGUGUGAAGAAGGUCUUCGGAUCGUAAAGCCCUUUCGACGGAGACGAUGAUGACGGUACCCGUAGAAGAAGCCCCGGCUAACUUCGUG
This 433-nucleotide ribosomal RNA is filed under the name uncultured bacterium. RNAcentral describes it as "partial 16S ribosomal RNA". It matches the Rfam family "Bacterial small subunit ribosomal RNA", at positions 30 to 507 of the family's 1533-position model. The record is from RNAcentral.